Molecule: long non-coding RNA, 1135 nt
Filed under: Macaca mulatta (Rhesus monkey)
Lineage: Eukaryota; Metazoa; Chordata; Mammalia; Primates; Cercopithecidae
Description: lncRNA (ENSMMUG00000057898.1)
Source: RNAcentral
AUGGUGGUGCUGGGGAGCUGGGCUGUGGGAGUUGGGCUGUGGGAGCUGGGCCAGGCCAGCAAAUCAUUCCCGAAGGUGGAGAACUGCCGGCUGAGGGCACCGUGGGCCUGGGUCCAGGGCCCAGCGUGGAACCUCUUCUUCUGGAGCACCAGGGGUCACAACAGCAUGGGCCUGGGUCCAGGGCCCAGCGUGGAACCCCUUCUCCUGGAGCACCAGGGGUCACAACAGUCCCUCUACUCCACGAUCACGGGUGACCCACGGCCGGGUGCUUUCGGGACGAGACAAAGACAGCGUGUUCCUCCAAGCCCCUGCCUGCCGCUCCGUCACUGGGGCCAUGGUCUGCGUGCCAACAACCUUUUAGGAAGCAUCUUGUGCCCACCCUCACCACCCCGCAAAAAACCUGUGUCCAAAACACUUGGCAGUGGGCUUCAAACACUCAGGUGCCCCGAGGAGGCGCCGGGAGAUGAGCCCAGAGCGCUGACUGGCGAAGGCCCCAGCAGGACUGGGCCGUGGGACUUGCUUGUUUACCUCUUAAGAGAAAAACACAACGAAAAAAGCUUCUGGGUAGAAUUGGAAGUUCUGGGGCUCUCGGCGCCUCGGCCUCCGCGCGGUUCUCUUCCUCCCCUCCCCGGCCUGCUUUUCCUCCUUCUUUCCCUCUUUGUUGCCAACCUCAGAGCCGCGGCUGAAACCCAGCCCAGCGUCCGCGAAGCCCGGAAACUUCCAGCUCCGCGACUGUGCAGAAAGUUGGGGGGCGCGGCCGGGGUGACAGCAGCAUCUCGGGAGCGGCCGCGGCGGCCACCCGGGACCUCGGCCUCCCGCGCCUCCCGCUGCCCCAGCCGCGCCCGGGGACCUCGGGCAGCCCGCGGGCCGGACGUGAACUUGACCGUCGCUGUGCCCGCCUGGACCGGGGCGCGCUCGGGACGAUCUGAACGUGGCCCCGUCCCAGAGCACCACCCGAGACAUCAGGAGCACAUCGCGGGCUUGGGAAGACCCUCCGGGACCUCACGGCCCAGGUCUUCCACCGUUGGCCACCUCCCCAGUGACGCCUGAAGCUCAAGGGACUGUGUCUAUCCUCAGGCCCUGCCCAUGGCUCCAGAUCGGCGGUCCCCGUCAGAGGCCUGGGCUGAGUCCUCAG